This is a long non-coding RNA of Brassica rapa (field mustard), 561 nucleotides long. RefSeq lists it as uncharacterized. NCBI's taxonomy places the organism in Eukaryota, Viridiplantae, Streptophyta, Magnoliopsida, Brassicales, Brassicaceae. The record is from RefSeq and is a predicted model, not a curated record.
CAGUAGUCUCCAGCAGCUACAAGGAAUCUCAUAACUCGAGCGUCUCUUUCCCGUACAAUCCGGCCAAGAACAUGGAGCCACUCAAGUUUGAAGCCGAGGGAAGCUCCGGGAGGACUUCCAACUCUUUCGUUCUUUGGCAGGUAUAUGCACUUGGAGGGUUUCUUGUCCUGAAGUGGGCGUGCGCGAGAUGGAACGAGAGGAAGGAAACUACUGCAAAAAGAAGACUACGGAUGAUGAUGAUCAUGAUCAAGACUAGUCAUAUUGCACCCAAGACCGGGCAAAUAAAUAGAACCCGAAAUUCCGAACCCGAAGUAAAUACCGAUUGAAUCUUGUUUUUUGGUAUUUUGGGUUAUGGGUAUUAUCCGAACUGAACCGGAACCUAAAUGGGUACCCGAUAGAACCCGAAAGAUUCAAACUUCCCCCUCCCCCAAAAUAGCUUGUACCAAGCAAGAUCUUAAUUCUUAAUAUGUAUCCAAAAUACACUAAGAAAUUAUUGAACAUCUUAAAGUAAUUAUCUAUUACAUUAAGGUUGAUCGUUGAAGUUGGCGGUUAAAGCUUGAA